Molecule: ribosomal RNA, 292 nt
Filed under: uncultured bacterium
Lineage: Bacteria
Description: partial 16S ribosomal RNA
Rfam family: Bacterial small subunit ribosomal RNA
Source: RNAcentral
GUGCCAGCAGCCGCGGUAAAACGUAGGUGGCAAGCGUUAUCCGGAUUCACUGGGCGUAAAGCGCGUGCAGGUGGCUCUGUAAGUUGGAUGUGAAAUUUCCCGGCUUAACCGGGAAGGGUCAUUCAAUACUGCAGGGCUUGAGGGCAGAAGAGGGGGGUGGAAUUGCCGGUGUAGUGGUGAAAUGCGUAGAUAUCGGCAGGAACACCUGUGGCGAAAGCGGCCCCCUGGUCUGCUCCUGACACUCAGACGCGAAAGCUAGGGGAGCGAACGGGAUUAGAUACCCCCGUAGUCC